This 1355-nucleotide ribosomal RNA is filed under the name Lepidozona coreanica. RNAcentral describes it as "16S ribosomal RNA". The stretch from base 618 to 1355 matches the Rfam family "Archaeal large subunit ribosomal RNA", at positions 1423 to 2836 of the family's 2987-position model. The record is from RNAcentral. Lineage: Eukaryota; Metazoa; Mollusca; Polyplacophora; Chitonida; Ischnochitonidae.
UUUUUAGACUUACUCUAAAAAUUACUUUUAGAAAGUUUCUUUAUAUUAGUUAUGAGGAAAAAGUUUGAUAUAUUUAGUAACCAUAAAUGAAAUUUAGGUUAUUGUUAAAUGAGAGUACUGUGAAGGAAAUAAGAAAUAUAUUUUAGUAUAGUUUUAUUCUAGUACCUUUUGUAUCAUGGUUUAACGAGAUUAAAAUAAUAUAAAAUUGAUUUCUAGAAAAAAAGAGAGCUAUAUUUAAGCUAAAUUUAAUGUGGCAAAAUUAUAAUAAGACUUAAUUAUAGUAGUGAAAUGCUAACGAUUUUUUUGAUAGCUAGUUGGAAGAUAGAUGCAUAUAAGUGCUAUUUAUAAGAAUUAAACUGACUUAUUAUAUUUAAGUUAUUUUAUAUUAUAAAGGGAGGCUUUUCAGGUUAAGCUGAUUAGCAGGAGGAAAACUGGAAUUAUAAGUAUAAUACUUAAAUUAUGUAGGCUUAACAGUUGCUAACAUACUUAUGGUUUUAUAACAAAGCUUUAUAAAUAAAUUCAAAGUAUCAAUGUUUCUUUAUCUAUUUUCUUAAUUUUAUAAAUCAUUAAUUAAUAUACGUUUAUGUUAAAAUGAGUAUUUUUUUUGUUUUUAUUUUUAAGAUAAAUUCUAAUAUUAAUAGUAAAAUUUUAUUAAUUAAAUUAAUAUAAAUGUAAUAAAGGAACUCGGCAAAAUUUAAAUUUCGCCUGUUUAACAAAAACAUCGCUCUUUGUUAUUAAAUAUAUAGGGAGUCGUACCUGCCCAGUGAAAAAUUUUAAACGGCCGCAGUACCCUGACUGUGCUAAGGUAGCAUAAUCAUUUGCCUUUUAAUUGAAGGCUAGAAUGAAUGGUUUGACGAAAAUUUGACUGUCUCUAUUAUACUAUCUAAAAAUUAUUUUUUAGGUGAAGAAACCUAAAUUUAAUUAAAAGACGAAAAGACCCUGUCGAGCUUAAAAAUUUAUGAUAAAUUGUCUAACUAUGUAGCAUAGAGUUUUUUAUUAUAAGUUUUUUUGUUGGGGUGACAGAAGAACAUUUUUAGCUUCUUUUUAUUAUUAAAACUAAUAAGUUUUUUAGAUCUACAUAUAAUUGUAAAUUAAGAUAAGUUACCGCAGGGAUAACAGCGUUAUUUUUCUGAAAAGUUCAAAUUGAAGGAAAAGUUUGCGACCUCGAUGUUGGAUUAGAAUACCGGGUAGGGGCAGAAGCUUAUUUUCGGAGGUCUGUUCGACCUUUAAAUUUCUACAUGAUCUGAGUUCAAACCGGCGUGAGCCAGGUUGGUUUCUAUCUUUAAUUAAAUUAAAUAAAUUAAAUUUAGUACGAAAGGACCAAUUUAAGUAAUUAAAAAUUAUGAUUAUUAAUA